RNAcentral lists this ribosomal RNA (494 nucleotides) under uncultured bacterium. RNAcentral's name for it is "partial 16S ribosomal RNA". It matches the Rfam family "Bacterial small subunit ribosomal RNA", at positions 28 to 507 of the family's 1533-position model. The record is from RNAcentral.
GACGAACGCUGGCGGCGUGCUUAACACAUGCAAGUCGAACGGUGAAGCGCCUUCCUUUUUGGUGGGUGUGGAUGAGUGGCGAACGGGUGAGUAACACGUGAGUAACCUGCCCCCUUCUUCUGGAUAACCGCAUGAAAGUGUGGCUAAUACGGGAUAUUCUGGGUCUGUCGCAUGAUGGGUCUGGGAAAGAUAUUGUUUCGGUGGGGGAUGGGCUCGCGGCCUAUCAGCUUGUUGGUGGGGUGAUGGCCUACCAAGGCGGUGACGGGUAGCCGGCCUGAGAGGGUGGACGGUCACACUGGGACUGAGACACGGCCCAGACUCCUACGGGAGGCAGCAGUGGGGAAUAUUGCACAAUGGGCGCAAGCCUGAUGCAGCGACGCCGCGUGAGGGAUGGAGGCCUUCUGGUUGUGAACCUCUUUCGCCAGUGAAGCAGGCCUGCCUCGUUUGUGGGUGGGUUGACGGUAGCUGGAUAAGAAGCGCCGGCUAACUACGUG